UACGAAGGGGGCUAGCGUUGUUCGGAAUUACUGGGCGUAAAGCGCGUGUAGGCGGGCCGUUAAGUCGGGGGUGAAAGCCCAGAGCUCAACUCUGGAACUGCCUUCGAUACUGGCGGCCUGGAGCAUGAUAGAGGCGAGUGGAAUUGCGAGUGUAGAGGUGAAAUUCGUAGAUAUUCGCAGGAACACCAGUGGCGAAGGCGACUCGCUGGAUCAUUGUUGACUCUGAGACGCGAAAGCGUGGGGAGCAAACAGG
RNAcentral lists this ribosomal RNA (253 nucleotides) under uncultured bacterium. Its description in RNAcentral is "partial 16S ribosomal RNA". It matches the Rfam family "Bacterial small subunit ribosomal RNA", at positions 524 to 776 of the family's 1533-position model. The record is from RNAcentral.